UCCCUCAUAGCUCAGUUGGUAAAGAAUCUGCCUGCAAUGCAGGAGACCCUGGUUCGAUUCCUGGGUUGGGAA
Molecule: transfer RNA, 72 nt
Organism: Ovis aries (sheep)
Lineage: Eukaryota; Metazoa; Chordata; Mammalia; Artiodactyla; Bovidae
Rfam family: tRNA
About the family: Transfer RNA (tRNA) molecules are approximately 80 nucleotides in length. Their secondary structure includes four short double-helical elements and three loops (D, anti-codon, and T loops).
Source: Rfam